AAAAACAUGUCCUUUAGAAUUUAAUUUAAGGUCUAGCCUGCCCACUGAUUUAAAUGGCCGCAGUAUUUUAACUGUGCAAAGGUAGCAUAAUCAUUAGUCUUUUAAUUGAAGGCUUGUAUGAAUGGUUGGACGAAAUAUUAACUGUUUCAUAAAAAUUUAUUUAGAAUUUUAUUUUUUAGUUAAAAAGCUAAAAUUUUUUUAAAAGACGAGAAGACCCUAUAGAUCUUUAUAAUUUAUUUAUUAUAGUUAUAUAGAUUAUUUAAAUUAUGAUUUUAUAAAUUAUUUUGUUGGGGUGACAUUAAAAUUUAAUAAACUUUUAAUAAAUUUUUACAUUAAUUUAUGAGUGAUUGAUCCAUUAUUAGUGAUUAUAAAAUUAAGUUACCUUAGGGAUAACAGCGUAAUUUUUUUGAAGAGUUCAUAUCGAUAAAAAAGAUUGCGACCUCGAUGUUGGAUUAAGAUAUAAUUUUGGGUGCAGCAAUUCAAUAAUUAAGUCUGUUCGACUUUUAAUUUCUUA
This 514-nucleotide ribosomal RNA is filed under the name Collessiama narelleae. Its description in RNAcentral is "partial 16S ribosomal RNA". It matches the Rfam family "Bacterial large subunit ribosomal RNA", at positions 1809 to 2598 of the family's 2925-position model. The record is from RNAcentral. Lineage: Eukaryota; Metazoa; Arthropoda; Insecta; Diptera; Therevidae.